GUGAAUGCAAAAAGUUGAAAAAGUGGGUGGUGAGAUUUUUUCCUAAGCAUCACACGUAUUCCACCCAAAGUCCACAUCUCUUAUUCCCUUUUGUUGCCCCAAAAGUCUUCUCUCUUAUCCUAUUUUUUUGGCUGCAUCAGAUCUAGCCCCUUUUCCUCUUUCUCUAUUUUUCUUUCUUUGUUCUUCUUUCUCUCUUCUUCUUUUGCUCUUACACAGCAGCCCUCCCCCUCUCACCAAAACAAUAUAUCCCUCUCUAAAGAAGAAAUUAAAAGGUUAACACUAAAAUUUCAGCUUCAAAGUUUGUGGGUGUUACUUGUUCCCCAAGUCUAAGCUUCUUCAACUGUAGGCUCUUGGUUUCUCUGCUUUCAGAUAAGGGAUAAGUUAUAUGGGUAUUUGUUAGCAGGUUUUAUUUUGGAGCAGAGAAAGCCUUAGUCGAGUUUGGAAGGAGCUGAUUUUAGUUUUAUAUGUAUAGAUCCUAAAUUAGCAAUUUGAUAUUUAGAUUUGUAAUAUGGUGUAUUUUAGGAUAUAAUGAAAGUGUGUACCUUAAAAUAUUAAGAGAUGUAUUAUGUGAAAUUUAGAAUUUGAAUAAUCA
Quercus lobata is the source of this 592-nucleotide long non-coding RNA. RefSeq lists it as uncharacterized. The record is from RefSeq and is a predicted model, not a curated record. NCBI's taxonomy places the organism in Eukaryota, Viridiplantae, Streptophyta, Magnoliopsida, Fagales, Fagaceae. The transcript has 3 exons.